This 253-nucleotide ribosomal RNA is filed under the name uncultured bacterium. Its description in RNAcentral is "partial 16S ribosomal RNA". It matches the Rfam family "Bacterial small subunit ribosomal RNA", at positions 524 to 776 of the family's 1533-position model. The record is from RNAcentral.
UACAGGGGGGGCAAGCGUUGUUCGGAAUUACUGGGCGUAAAGGGCUCGUAGGUGGCCAACUAAGUCAGACGUGAAAUCCCUCAGCUUAACUGGGGAACUGCGUCUGAUACUGGAUGGCUUGAGUUUGGGAGAGGGAUGCGGAAUUCCAGGUGUAGCGGUGAAAUGCGUAGAUAUCUGGAGGAACACCGGUGGCGAAGGCGGCAUCCUGGACCAACACUGACACUGAGGCGCGACAGCGUGGGGAGCAAACAGG